This 1169-nucleotide long non-coding RNA is filed under the name Apteryx owenii (little spotted kiwi). RNAcentral's name for it is "lncRNA (ENSAOWG00000002438.1)". Lineage: Eukaryota; Metazoa; Chordata; Aves; Apterygiformes; Apterygidae. The record is from RNAcentral.
UGAAGGUCUGCUACAACCAUCUUUCUUUAAUCCACCAUGGCACUGCACAGACCUGCUUAAAAAGCUGCUGGGUAAGCUGCCCCUCAUCCUGCAACAAGCUGCUCUAGUAUUGCCCUGGCACCCAAAGCUUUGGGAUAGGCAUUGCAGCUGCAGUGCUACUGCUGCUCAGGUUACUUGGGAAAAGCCCAUACCUAUAGCCAGCCUAUGGAUGGCCCACAGAGAUCAUCCUGUGCCACAGGAAUUAGUGACCCCCUGGAGAACGUCUGCACUUGCUCCAGGCUCCAUUGCCCUUUCUCUUGCACUGGGCAGCUGAUCAACACUAGGUUGCUAAGGGUGGAGAGAUUGUUCUCAGCCUGUCUUCAUGUGGAAAGGUGCUGCUUUCAUCUUGGACUUGGACGGAGGGGUAUGUGUGUCUAACAGCCUCUUUUUUGCCUCCCAACCUGUAUCUGCUGGUUUAAUAGGAGGUGCUGCCUCUCUAGACCUUCUCAGCACUCUAACUUUUAUUGCAUUUGAAUGUCUCAAAGAAUCAAAGCACACAAGGUGUAUGAGAGGCCUGGCUGAGGGAAGGCACCUGUGUGUGUCCUUCUUGUCUAGCAUGCUGUGUUGAGAGGUGCAGAAAUGCCUGUCGAUAUCUCCACUGCAGACAUUGCAAAAGCUUCGUCCCACCUGGAAGAUCAAUUUGAAAUGGAUCCUGUGGCAUGCCAGGUGCUGUCCAGAGAGCUUGACAGUGGAGGAAACAGUGAAAGAAUGGCGACUGUGGUACCAUUGAUCAAGCCAGUGUGUCUGUUCUUGGUAGAGCGGCUAAUAAGGCCACCGGUGCAGUGAGAACGUAAACCCCAGAGAAAGAGUCAGCAGGGAAAGAGAGACCAAUGCAGAGAGCAAGAUCUAAUAUGGACCUGAUAACCGACAAUGGGAUUUCAGCAGGGACUGUACAAAUCCGAAAUAGAAGUUGGCAAUUACUCCAGAGAGAUCAUCGUCUGCCUCAAUACAGGAAACAAAUAGAUUGGCCAGCUGAGGCAAAGAAGGCAGUGGAUAACCCUGUUUCAAAGAAAUGCUCCACUUGGAAACUGCAGAAGAAGGCUCAUCAAUCUUUAUACAUCCAGAAUGGAAGCAGAUCGGCAGAGCAGAGCACCAGAGUCCUUCCCAUUCAGAAGUCCAUCGGCUACUAG